RNAcentral lists this ribosomal RNA (1333 nucleotides) under uncultured bacterium. Its description in RNAcentral is "bacterial SSU rRNA". It matches the Rfam family "Bacterial small subunit ribosomal RNA", at positions 28 to 1382 of the family's 1533-position model. The record is from RNAcentral.
GACGAACGCUGGCGGCGCGCCUAACACAUGCAAGUCGAACGAGAGAUGAGGAGCUUGCUCUUCAAAUCGAGCGGCGAACGGGUGAGUAACGCGUGAGGAACCUGCCUCAAAGAGGGGGACAACAGUUGGAAACGACUGCUAAUACCGCAUAAGCCCACGGCUCGGCAUCGAGCAGAGGGAAAAGGAGCAAUCCGCUUUGAGAUGGCCUCGCGUCCGAUUAGCUAGUUGGUGAGGUAACGGCCCACCAAGGCGACGAUCGGUAGCCGGACUGAGAGGUUGAACGGCCACAUUGGGACUGAGACACGGCCCAGACUCCUACGGGAGGCAGCAGUGGGGAAUAUUGCACAAUGGGGGAAACCCUGAUGCAGCGACGCCGCGUGGAGGAAGAAGGUCUUCGGAUUGUAAACUCCUGUUGUUGAGGAAGAUAAUGACGGUACUCAACAAGGAAGUGACGGCUAACUACGUGCCAGCGGCCGCGGUAAAACGUAGGUCACAAGCGUUGUCCGGAAUUACUGGGUGUAAAGGGAGCGCAGGCGGGAGAACAAGUUGGAAGUGAAAUCCAUGGGCUCAACCCAUGAACUGCUUUCAAAACUGUUUUUCUUGAGUAGUGCAGAGGUAGGCGGAAUUCCCGGUGUAGCGGUGGAAUGCGUAGAUAUCGGGAGGAACACCAGUGGCGAAGGCGGCCUACUGGGCACCAACUGACGCUGAGGCUCGAAAGUGUGGGUAGCAAACAGGAUUAGAUACCCUGGUAGUCCACACCGUAAACGAUGAUUACUAGGUGUUGGAGGAUUGACCCCUUCAGUGCCGCAGUUAACACAAUAAGUAAUCCACCUGGGGAGUACGACCGCAAGGUUGAAACUCAAAGGAAUUGACGGGGGCCCGCACAAGCAGUGGAGUAUGUGGUUUAAUUCGACGCAACGCGAAGAACCUUACCAAGUCUUGACAUCCCUUGACGAUGCUGGAAACAGUAUUUCUCUUCGGAGCAAGGAGACAGGUGGUGCAUGGUUGUCGUCAGCUCGUGUCGUGAGAUGUUGGGUUAAGUCCCGCAACGAGCGCAACCCUUAUGGUCAGUUACUACGCAAGAGGACUCUGGCCAGACUGCCGUUGACAAAACGGAGGAAGGUGGGGAUGACGUCAAAUCAUCAUGCCCUUUAUGACUUGGGCUACACACGUACUACAAUGGCGUUAAACAAAGAGAAGCAAGACCGCGAGGUGGAGCAAAACUCAGAAACAACGUCCCAGUUCGGACUGCAGGCUGCAACUCGCCUGCACGAAGUCGGAAUUGCUAGUAAUCGUGGAUCAGCAUGCCACGGUGAAUACGUUCCCGGGCCUU